GCGAGGGCGGCGGCGCUGCCCGCGGGAAGGGGCUGCGGCGGCGGCGGGAGCCGCGUCCCGCUGCCACCCGCCUGCCGGGGCCGCGGGAGAAGCGCCGCGACCCUUCGCCUCCGCUCGCCUCUUUAUGGAAACUCCCCAGAAGCCCCAUGCGAGUGGUGCCUAUUGUUUCCAUGAGCGGAGCCUCCUCUCAGUAAGUCCCUGGUUUUUGUCUUGCCUGUUGAUUUUCCCACAUCUCUCCUGAGCUCCCACAAUUCAUGCAGAACUCCUUGGGACUCU
RNAcentral lists this long non-coding RNA (276 nucleotides) under Lonchura striata (white-rumped munia). RNAcentral's name for it is "domestica (Bengalese finch) lncRNA (ENSLSDG00000004731.1)". Lineage: Eukaryota; Metazoa; Chordata; Aves; Passeriformes; Estrildidae. The record is from RNAcentral.